Non-coding RNA from Pyronema omphalodes CBS 100304, 90 nucleotides. Lineage: Eukaryota; Fungi; Ascomycota; Pezizomycetes; Pezizales; Pyronemataceae. The record is from Rfam.
UCCCCCGUGGCGCAAUUGGCUAGCGCGUCUGACUGUUAAGAUAUUGCAUCUGCGAUCAGGAGGUUGGUGGUUCAAGCCCACCCGGAGGAG